Molecule: ribosomal RNA, 253 nt
Filed under: uncultured bacterium
Lineage: Bacteria
Description: partial 16S ribosomal RNA
Rfam family: Bacterial small subunit ribosomal RNA
Source: RNAcentral
UACAGAGGGUGCGAGCGUUGUCCGGAAUCACUGGGCGUAAAGGGCGCGUAGGUGGCGCUCCAAGUCUGUGGUGAAAGCUCGAUGCUUAACAUCGAGUCGGCCACGGAUACUGGGGGGCUCGAGCACUGUAGGGGCAGAUGGAAUUCCGGGUGUAGCGGUGGAAUGCGUAGAGAUCCGGAAGAACACCGGUGGCGAAGGCGGUCUGCUGGGCAGUUGCUGACACUGAGGCGCGACAGCGUGGGGAGCAAACAGG